CGGUGUGCUCUUGGAGCUGCGGGGAGGUGAUAGUGCACCGCCGCCUGGCAGGGAGGAGGGGGCGGAGGGGCUUCGGAGCGGCUUCCCUGCGGCCCAAAGGAAGAGGGGCCUCGCUGAUCCUAAAAUUUGUUCAGGGCCAGUGGCCGUCGAAGGGCGGGUGCGGAUGCUUUUGGGCUGGGAGCGGUGUUUUGAGCAGUGUUUGAUUUUAAACCUCAACAUCAGUUCCUUCUGCCAUCCUGUAAUGUGUAUAACCAGUCCCUCCUGAAAGCCUAUGGCCCAAGUGCUGGUGCAGUUUCUUGGCACUCAUCUUGAGAACGAUAAUUACUGGACGGUGGAAAUUGUCUGUUUCCUUGAGAAGAAAUGUAGGAAGGAACUUGCCGUGGAGUUAGAAGGAACUCCUUGGAGAAAUUUCAAGUAUGGGGCAAGAAUUGUCCAAGAUAAACAAGGAAGCUUUCAAAGACUAUUAGGAGUGUAUCAAAAAGACUCAGAAGCAACUAGAAUAGUUCCGCCUGGCCAAAGAUGGGACAAGUUGAAUGUCAAAAUGGAUAAUUUCUGGGCCUGGCCCUGUGGCCUAGUGGUUAAGUUCACGUGCUCCGCUUCAGCAGCUCAGGGUUUUGCCAGUUUGGAUCCUGGGCUCGGACAUGGCACCGCUCGUCAAGCCAUGAUGAGGCAGC
Molecule: long non-coding RNA, 674 nt
Organism: Equus quagga
Lineage: Eukaryota; Metazoa; Chordata; Mammalia; Perissodactyla; Equidae
Exons: 4
Source: RefSeq, a predicted model, not a curated record